Molecule: long non-coding RNA, 4802 nt
Organism: Nothobranchius furzeri (turquoise killifish)
Lineage: Eukaryota; Metazoa; Chordata; Actinopteri; Cyprinodontiformes; Nothobranchiidae
Source: Ensembl
UGAACUGGAAGACCAGAUGGAGUGUUUACAAAGCUCUGCCUCCAGUCCCAUGAGACGGGCAUCAGUCACUCUAAAAGAUGUGGAGGAAGUAGAAGUACUUCUACAGCAGGUUGGACAGAAUCUGGCCGUCCUCAAAGGUUGGUCCAUCCAAAAAAAAAAAAAAAAAAAGGUUGGUCCAUCAAAGCGGCACUGAAGGAAAUUACAUUUUCAUUUAUUAUUUUAAUAAUUAAAUAAGAUUAACUGGACUAGUGCAACACAGUUUAAAUGGUUUUAAACUUUAUUUAAAAACAAAAUUUUCUCACUGUGAAAAAACUCUUUUCAGUACAAGCAUGACCUGACAGCACUUCAAAGUGUUCAACACACCGUUAAAAUCCACCCCGGUUAAUUUACACACGCAAACAAACGUGAAAAUAGUCUUCUACCCCUAUUUCCUGCGUUAGCUGCAUAUACUGUAGAAAAUAGAAACGCUCAGAUUAGAGGAGUCAGAUCUACACCACAACACCUUGUGUUAUUCAUGCAGAUAAAACAUCAACGCUGCAGCGCAAACAGAGUCAGUGGUAGAGUCACGCCUAUGUUAGCCAAUCAGAGGUGAGAUGUCAGAAUAUCAGGAAAUAGGACUCCAAAUCCUGUCGUCUGAAGCUCAGCUUCUACGAACUUCUAUGAAACAAGAGUGCCAAAGCUUCUUUUCAACUCACAUGACGUUCGUUUAUACUAGAGCCAAUCGUAAAUGUGAUGAAAAACUAGUGAUGUUGGUCUUUAAAUGUAUUUGCAGCACAGAAAAAAAACUUUCCAAAGAUUUUAAUGAUCCAUAGUUAGCCAAAAAGCUUGGAGCCCCCCAUUAUUUAGCCUUCAGACCUCACAACUUCAUUUGUGUGUGUGUGUGUGUGUGUGUGUGUGUGUGUGUGUGUGUGUGUGUGUGUGUGUGUGCCAGGAGAAUUCCCCGUGCUGCAGGCCAACAUGUGUUCAGUGCUGAGGACGGAGGUGGAGGCAAUGCGGUUCCUGAAGGAGGAACCUCAUAAGAUGGACUCCAUGUCACAAAGGGUCAAAGUCCUGAGUGACGUUCUCAGCUUCCUUCGCGGGUCUCUGUUAGAGUCAGUUCCUUCAGCCAGAUCAGCGGAAGCAGACCCUCUGAAGGUCUUGGACCAGGAACCCUCAAAUCCCCAGAGCCUUUUCAGCUUUCCAAAACUCCAGUCUCUACAUUCAGUCAGAGCCCUCCUGCCCACUGUCGCCCAAUCCGUGGGCCAGGCUGGGGCAGCAGCCUCUGUGGUUCAGCCCUGCCUCGACCAACUCAGCCCUCCACCAACAUCUGCUCAUGGACAAGACUCACUCACCAUGGCUGAGGCUACACCCAAACAAACUCAAGAUGGUAGGUCGGACGUAGACAUCAGCGAUGCAAACUGGAACCAUUCCACUACCAACGCAGCCACCCAGUUACCUCUCCGUACCAGCACAGGCCAUAUCCAGCUCCUACAGGUGGACCAAACCAUGAAGACCAUCAUCCCUGAGUCAGAUGUCAAAGAGAGUUUCUGUCAUUCAACCUCAAGAUGGACUCGGUCAGAGCAGAACGCACCUCUGGGUGUGCCUGAGCCAGAAAAGGAGCAACUGUCUCACAUCCAAGAAGAUAAAACUCUGCAGCCAAGAGAUGAUGUGAAAUCCUCCCAACGCAGCAAGUCAGAUACAGCUUGUCUGGUCACUUCAUCCCCGGAGCACGGCAGGCAGACACGAGUAGAGAAAACCCACAGCUCCAGUGAGAACAGUGACAGUGGGCUGAGUCGGGACACGUCUCCAGCGUGCUCCACAAGGUUGCAAGACAUCAUGUCAGACGUGAUUCCUCCUUCCCACAAAGAUCCUGCUGGAGCCGCGGUCUCUACAGAAAAGUUUGGUAGGACUCGUCCCCAUGGCAAAGUUACGAAAGAUGCAAAAGAAAAGGAGAGAUCUCCACCCGCUCAAGUGGCCAGUAGGAACUCCACACAGGGUCCCACGAUCAAACCCGUAACAGCAGGUGAACUGCAAGAUCUUCAUGGGGAUGGAAUAAGUGGAAGUCUUGAUGUCAAGAAAGAUGUGGAGGAGAGGGAGGCUGAACAAGGACCUUCCCUCGUCUGUAAAACGCAAGAGAAGCAGGAGAUGUCUUCUCUUGUAGCGUCAGAGGCAUUUCCUCAUCCCUCUGAACUUCUGAACAUGCAAGAGACAAUGGUUCCUACUGGCUCAGCUUCACAGCAGCAACAGGUUCUUUAUGUAAACAAUCGAUGUCAAACUGUCAAAAUCAAUGUUGAUCAGUCUCCAUCUCCAACCACGGCAGAAAAGAACGACAUUGUUGUGCUGCAAAAUGAACCGAAUCAAGGAACUGUCGCAGUUCGUGAACAGACAUUCAAAAAGUUUGGAAAGAAAUCACCAGCUGAGAAGUCUAGUCCAGGAGAACUGGCACACAAACAAGGAAAGUCCAAGUCCUGGACGAUAAGGCCAUCACACGUGGUGCAGCAGGACGAGACCCUGAGCUCCAGCGAGGACCAUGAAACAUCCUUCCCACCUUCGUCUCUGUCACCUCAGAACAGAGAGCAGCAAAUCCGGGAGGAAACGGUGCCGAUGUUUAGAGACCAGGCGCUGAUCAGUGAAGAGGGAGGCAGCUUCAGCCACAAUAUUUGGGACAUUGAAGAACCACCUCCUCCUCCACUGACUCACAGACUCGUCAUGACUAACAUCUGGUCAAAAUCUAACAUGGACGAUCCACACAACAGGCAGAACAGCAAAUGUGAGAACGGUGCUCUUGUUAAUAUGGGCCAUGAGAACUACGGUUUCGAGGACAGGGAUGAGUCCGACUCUGAACCUACGAUGGCUUUCUUCAACAUGCCUGUGGACCCUCCAUCACCCUACACGCCUCUGUCUACCAUCUUUGAGUAUGAAGAAGAUCUUGAAGUGACUUUGUGUCGGGAUGGAUUUUUAAAAGAGUCACAAUUUGAAGAGGAGCAACGUGCCGACCCUGAUUUAGGGUUACGCCUCGCUGACAUCUCAGGGAACGGCUCGAAUUUUCCACAGCACUCAGAACUGUGUGUUUCACACCCUCAAAACCAAGGCCAGGCUCACACAAACUGCUCCGCAAAGACCGAAGCAAAAAGCAAAUUCAAAUUUAAGUUUCCCAAACUGUCUGCACUCAGCCAGGCUAUUGGGAUGGGGACAAAGACGGCUGAAGCAGACAAAGAAAAGAAGGUGGCGUCAGAGUGCAGGUCAGUCGUGGAGACCAAGACUCAAAUAAAAGAAUGCAUGACCUCUGAGGUCAACGGCAGUAAAGAGCUCAGCGUGAGCAGGAGUAACUCCUGUAGCAAAGACACCCCUACAGACGCUAGGAUGUCUGAGUCGCACGCUCGGGUAGAAGCACUUUGCAAGAACGCGUUUAAAUCUAUCAGCAGCUUAGAAGAGUCCAUCAAGCAGCUGGAAAUCAGCAUGGACAAUAUGGCUGCCCCUUCUUCUCCUCUCCCUACAGUGGCUUCACCUUCUCAGGAUCAGAGGUUUUCCUUUGAUUCUACUGACAGGCAUACACCUAAAGGCAAAUCUAAACUAGAGGAGGAGAGAAGACACGCCACCCAGACGUCUGAAGACCCAAAUCCAGCUGAGAGGAAGCGAGCCAGAUCACAGCCGUCUCACAACUCAGGGAGAGUCGUCACCAAAAGACAGGCUUUUUAGUUCCAGUCUGAGCCUGAGGCCUCCCCUCCUCUCAUCCAGCUGUGUGAUAUAGCUUCCACACACUGACAUCACCUGGACCAGGCAGAGGCCUCACAGCAGCAACUAAGCUAACCUCAACCCAUCCACAUCCUCCUGAACAUCACUCAUCACCUUUUACCCUCAACUAUGGACCAGGGGCCAGUCUGUGGGAGUGCCACACCAUGAGCCAAUGUUUUCAUCCCAUCUUCAGUCUGGAACAGUGCAACCUUCCAGAAGCUGCAGACUAUAGACUACCAGGAGAGUGAAGUCUUUUCAUUUCCACUCCUAAGUUGUUUUUCUAAAGUUUCCUGUUUGAAAAAGCUGAAUAAGCGUGAGUUCAGAUGUUCUGAGGCCAAACUAUCGUGGUGCCGUUGUGAGUGAGCCUUUAGGGAAGCUAACAGCCACCAGAGGUUUGAGGGGUUUUACAUGUGUGUGUCUUUGAAUGUAUGAGAAAACAUCUGGUGGUAAAGGUGAAUAAAGGGGCGUGGCUCAGUGGGAGGAGCCUGUUCAGCUCAGGAUCCAUCUUUUUGUUGCUGGUUUAGUCUAGAGGGCUGAGUUCUCUGGUGAGUCAGGUCCUGAUGUAGACCUGACUCCUCAGAACAGAUAGGUCCUUCUGUGAAUAAGGAAGGGAUGGAAUCUGGGAUGGAUCUCCUUCUCCCCCGUCGGGGAGAACUCCAAGGUCAGAAAAUUCCAGGAUGUUCAAAAACCCAAUUUUGUAUAAAGUCCUUUCUUGCUUUACAGCAUUUCCCCUCUGAAUUCCUCUCUUGUUCAUAUUAACAACUCAUUUUUAUAUUACUUGAAACCAUUUAAUUAUGUUUGAUUUGGUAAGAGUUGUAAACUUUGUUUAUUGUAAAUCAAAAACUGAAAUCCAAUAAAUAUUUUUAUGUCAGUGUUUGCUGCUUUAUUUUAAUUUUUUUAUACAAAAAUAACCACGAGAUGUUUACAUCGAGACGGACCUGAAACCUGUUGAGCUGCGUAAGCAUCACACGGCUCCAGCCCGGCAACGCCACACACAGCCUCCCUACAGACGCUGCUCAUCAUCAGGAUGCAUCUUACAGUCUGUGUGUGUGUGUGUGUGUGUGUGUGUGAGAGAGAGAGAGAGAGAG